CCCAAGCACUUAGGCUUCACUAUCUGCUCAGAAGUCAAACAGGGAGGACCUAUGGCAUGUAUGGGUCAAUUAUUGGUUCAGAAAUGCUGUUGGAAAAUUAAAGUUUUUAGACUUGAAUUUAGGGCAGAUAGCGCUGCAUUUUCCAUGUCAAAGCAUCAAGAACAUUACUGCUGAGAAUUGAGGCCUUCCUGAUGAUUUCCUGCCUUUAGUCACAGAUGUCAAACUAUGGGUUCCAAUUCUGGUUCUGAGUUUGGUUCCAAGUCUGGUUCCAACUGCCGUUCCAAUUGCCGUUCCAGUAGCCGUUCCGGUCCCAUUCCCGACUCCGGCUUUACCAUGAUUAUGACUGUCAAAUCCCACCAUGGACAAGACUUCUAAAGAGAGUCAGAGAGGGAAGACAGAUUCGUCGUCGAUUCGUCAGUAUCAAUGAACAUUGAACUGGAGUGAUUUUUCACCGCAUAUUAGUGGGCUACUUUGUAUGUUAUUUCAAAGAAUUGUAUAUGUUAUUUGUACUCUGAAACAAAGCCAUUGAAUUAUCGUUCUAGCCUGAAUACAGCUAGUUUUAAUAAAUUCUUUAAACUGUA
Molecule: long non-coding RNA, 581 nt
Organism: Lytechinus pictus (painted urchin)
Lineage: Eukaryota; Metazoa; Echinodermata; Echinoidea; Temnopleuroida; Toxopneustidae
Exons: 2
Source: RefSeq, a predicted model, not a curated record